RNAcentral lists this ribosomal RNA (1372 nucleotides) under uncultured bacterium. RNAcentral's name for it is "bacterial SSU rRNA". It matches the Rfam family "Bacterial small subunit ribosomal RNA". The record is from RNAcentral.
UUAGAGUUUGAUCCUGGCUCAGAACGAACGCUGGCGGCGUGGAUAAGACAUGCAAGUCGAACGAGAGAAUUGCUAGCUUGCUAAUAAUUCUCUAGUGGCGCACGGGUGAGUAACACGUGAGUAACCUGCCCCCGAGAGCGGGAUAGCCCUGGGAAACUGGGAUUAAUACCGCAUAGUAUCUAAAGAUUAAAGCAGCAAUGCGCUUGGGGAUGGGCUCGCGGCCUAUUAGUUAGUUGGUGAGGUAACGGCUCACCAAGGCGAUGACGGGUAGCCGGUCUGAGAGGAUGUCCGGCCACACUGGAACUGAGACACGGUCCAGACACCUACGGGUGGCAGCAGUCGAGAAUCAUUCACAAUGGGGGAAACCCUGAUGGUGUGACGCCGCGUGGGGGAAUGAAGGUCUUCGGAUUGUAAACCCCUGUCAUGUGGGAGCAAAUUAAAAAGAUAGUACCACAAGAGGAAGAGACGGCUAACUCUGUGCCAGCAGCCGCGGUAAUACAGAGGUCUCAAGCGUUGUUCGGAAUCACUGGGCGUAAAGCGUGCGUAGGCUGUUUCGUAAGUCGUGUGUGAAAGGCGCGGGCUCAACCCGCGGACGGCACAUGAUACUGCGAGACUAGAGUAAUGGAGGGGGAACCGGAAUUCUCGGUGUAGCAGUGAAAUGCGUAGAUAUCGAGAGGAACACUCGUGGCGAAGGCGGGUUCCUGGACAUUAACUGACGCUGAGGCACGAAGGCCAGGGGAGCGAAAGGGAUUAGAUACCCCUGUAGUCCUGGCAGUAAACGGUGCACGCUUGGUGUGCGGGGAAUCGACCCCCUGCGUGCCGGAGCUAACGCGUUAAGCGUGCCGCCUGGGGAGUACGGUCGCAAGAUUAAAACUCAAAGAAAUUGACGGGGACCCGCACAAGCGGUGGAGUAUGUGGCUUAAUUCGAUGCAACGCGAAGAACCUUACCUGGGCUUGACAUGUAAUGAACAACAUGUGAAAGCAUGCGACUCUUCGGAGGCGUUACACAGGUGCUGCAUGGCCGUCGUCAGCUCGUGUCGUGAGAUGUUUGGUUAAGUCCAGCAACGAGCGCAACCCCUGUUGCCAGUUACCAGCACGUGAAGGUGGGGACUCUGGCGAGACUGCCCAGAUCAACUGGGAGGAAGGUGGGGACGACGUCAGGUCAGUAUGGCCCUUAUGCCCAGGGCUGCACACGUACUACAAUGCCCAGUACAGAGGGGGCCGAAGCCGCGAGGCGGAGGAAAUCCUGAAAACUGGGCCCAGUUCGGACUGUAGGCUGCAACCCGCCUACACGAAGCCGGAAUCGCUAGUAAUGGCGCAUCAGCUACGGCGCCGUGAAUACGUUCCCGGGUCUUGCACACACCGCCCGUCA